GUUCUCCUCGGACUCUUCACGAAAUUGCCUAUGAGCAUCAGCGACUAGAAGGCGUUGAGAGAGGCUCAUAUUCUCCAUGUCUCUCAGGGCAUCGCGAUGAAUUACGUCAAACUCAUCCGGCGGACCGCCGUCCGCGUCCCUAGCGGGGCUUGAUGGGGCAGCAGUGCUUUUCCCCUUCUCUUCACGCGACAAUCGACCCUUCGAAGCCAUCUUUCUACUCGG
This 222-nucleotide long non-coding RNA is filed under the name Brassica napus (rape). Its description in RNAcentral is "long non-coding RNA (BNAP_LNC018343)". Lineage: Eukaryota; Viridiplantae; Streptophyta; Magnoliopsida; Brassicales; Brassicaceae. The record is from RNAcentral.